This 887-nucleotide ribosomal RNA is filed under the name uncultured bacterium. Its description in RNAcentral is "bacterial SSU rRNA". It matches the Rfam family "Bacterial small subunit ribosomal RNA", at positions 8 to 916 of the family's 1533-position model. The record is from RNAcentral.
AGAGUUUGAUCCUGGCUCAGGACGAACGCUGGCGGCGUGCCUAACACAUGCAAGUCGAGCGAUGAAGCCCUUCGGGGUGGAUUAGCGGCGGACGGGUGAGUAACACGUGGGUAACCUGCCUCAAAGAGGGGGAUAGCCUCCCGAAAGGGAGAUUAAUACCGCAUAACAUUAGUAUUUCGCAUGAAGAACUAAUUAAAGGAGUAAUCCGCUUUGAGAUGGACCCGCGGCGCAUUAGCUAGUUGGUGAGGUAAAGGCUCACCAAGGCGACGAUGCGUAGCCGACCUGAGAGGGUGAUCGGCCACAUUGGAACUGAGACACGGUCCAGACUCCUACGGGAGGCAGCAGUGGGGAAUAUUGCACAAUGGGCGAAAGCCUGAUGCAGCAACGCCGCGUGAGUGAUGAAGGCCUUCGGGUUGUAAAGCUCUGUCUUUGGGGACGAUAAUGACGGUACCCAAGGAGGAAGCCACGGCUAACUACGUGCCAGCAGCCGCGGUAAUACGUAGGUGGCGAGCGUUGUCCGGAUUUACUGGGCGUAAAGGAUGCGUAGGUGGAUGUUUAAGUCAGAUGUGAAAUACCCGAGCUUAACUUGGGUGCUGCAUUUGAAACUGGAUAUCUAGAGUGCAGGAGAGGUAAGUGGAAUUCCUAGUGUAGCGGUGAAAUGCGUAGAGAUUAGGAAGAACACCAGUGGCGAAGGCGACUACUGGACUGUAACUGACACUGAGGCAUGAAAGCGUGGGUAGCAAACAGGAUUAGAUACCCUGGUAGUCCACGCCGUAAACGAUGAGUACUAGGUGUAGGGGGGUCCAACCUUCUGUGCCGCAGUUAACACAAUAAGUACUCCGCCUGGGAAGUACGGUCGCAAGAUUAAAACUCAAAGGAAUUGAUGG